GAUGAACGCUGGCGGCGUGCCUAAUACAUGCAAGUCGAGCGAACGGACGAGAAGCUUGCUUCUCUGACGUUAGCGGCGGACGGGUGAGUAACACGUGGAUAACCUACCUAUAAGACUGGGAUAACUUCGGGAAACCGGAGCUAAUACCGGAUAAUAUAUUGAACCGCAUGGUUCAAAAGUGAAAGACGGUCUUGCUGUCACUUAUAGAUGGAUCCGCGCCGCAUUAGCUAGUUGGUAAGGUAACGGCUUACCAAGGCAACGAUGCGUAGCCGACCUGAGAGGGUGAUCGGCCACACUGGAACUGAGACACGGUCCAGACUCCUACGGGAGGCAGCAGUAGGGAAUCUUCCGCAAUGGGCGAAAGCCUGACGGAGCAACGCCGCGUGAGUGAUGAAGGUCUUCGGAUCGUAAAACUCUGUUAUUAGGGAAGAACAUAUGUGUAAGUAACUGUGCACGUCUUGACGGUACCUAAUCAGAAAGCCACGGCUAACUACGUG
This 497-nucleotide ribosomal RNA is filed under the name uncultured bacterium. Its description in RNAcentral is "partial 16S ribosomal RNA". It matches the Rfam family "Bacterial small subunit ribosomal RNA", at positions 28 to 507 of the family's 1533-position model. The record is from RNAcentral.